Non-coding RNA from Erinaceus europaeus (western European hedgehog), 2400 nucleotides. The record is from the annotation of a RefSeq genome assembly. Lineage: Eukaryota; Metazoa; Chordata; Mammalia; Eulipotyphla; Erinaceidae.
UUCCAGCCAAGGCCCCAUGGCCGGCCCCAGGCUGGUUACCUGUGAGGCAGCAUCACAAUGUGCUCCUGGGACACCCGACAGAUGUUUUUCGGAGCUGGCACCAGACUCUUCGUGGAGCCUCGAAGUCAGGCUCCUGCCAAACCAUCCGUUUUCAUCAUGAAGAAUGAAACAAAAGUUGCAUGCCUGGUGAAGGAUUUCUAUCCCAAGACUAUAAAUAUUAAUUUCAAAUCAUCUAAGAAAAUAGAAGAAUUAGGCUCUGCUGUUGUGAUCUCUCCCAGCGGGAAGUACAGUGCAGUCAAGCUUGGUCAGGGCGAAGACUCAAACUCAGUGACAUGUUCUGUUGAACACAACAAUGAAAUCGUGCACUCCACUGACUUCGAAUCAAAGACAGAUUCUUCAGAAAGUGUAAAACCAACUGCAAAACCAACAGAACCUGCAAAACCAACAAAACCUGCAAAACCAACAGAACCUGCAGUCAUAAAGCAAACUACUGUGAUCCAGCACCAUAGCUAUAAUCACCAAAAACCUAAAGCCACAGUUCACAUGGAGACGGUGAACAUGAUGUCCCUCACGGUGUUGGGUCUCCGAAUAUUGUUCGCCAAGAGUGUUGCCAUCAACUUCCUGCUGACUGUCAAGUUGUUUUUCUUUUAAGGCUGAUGGUGUGUCUUGAGAAGGACAUAUAAUCCCUGAAAGAAACCAAAAGCCUACAGAAGUGUUAUUUCCUAGGCUUCCAGCUUCCAACAGAUUCAAAUGACCUACCUUAAUUUUGCUUUCAAUGACUACUACCUGAACCAGAUUUCCUUCAAAAGCAGCAAACCCAGCUCAUCAUCCAACCUAGUAGAAAGAAAAGGGUCCUAGUGGGUGGGGUAGGGGAGAUGGAGGGCAUGACCCUAACUACUUUAUGUGCUGUUUUAGAAAGAGAUGUAAGGGGUCGGGUGGUGGUGCACCUGAUUGAAUGCACAUGUAACAGUGUGUAAGGACCCAGGUUCAAGCCCCCAGUCCCCACCUGCAGAGGAAAGCUUCACAAGUGGUAAGGCAGGGCUGCAGGUGUCUCUCUGUCUCUUUCUCUAUCACGCCCUUCCCUCUCAACUUCUGGCUGUUUCUGUCCAAUAAAUAAAUAAAGAUAAUUUUUAAAAAAUUUUAAAAAGAGAUGUAAAAACACAAAGGGAUAUGGAACUCGCUUUUUUUCUUUAAUUCCUACGACUGAUGACUUUGAAAACAGAGUUCUGUUCCUUUGAUACUCUUUGUCUCUGAAGUACAAAGUACAAGCCAACAAGUUUCCAGCUCCCUUAUCUAAGAGGAUAAUGGACUUGGGGCAAAUAGAUCAGGUAGGUGUUUUUCACCUGCAUGUGCAAGGCUGGCUUCAUCAUCCAUCACUAGGUUUUGCCCCAAGCUACCAUUAUUGUCCUCCUCUUUUUGUGAUCUGUCCCAUCUUUGUUUACUCCAGGAGCCAUUGUGCAAGAGGGAGCAGAUGGCACAGAAGUGCUUCCUGCUUUUUCUGGAACUUUACUAACCAACUUACACUUAACUCCCCUUUUAUUCUCCUAACAGGCAAUAAGGUGUCUAAAAUCUCAUCUAAAAUACUCCUCAGGCUCUUAGCAGAGAUCAGAGUAUCAUAAAGAGAAAAAGAACAUCACUCUACUAAUUGAUUUAAUGAACAUGAAUUAAUUUAUGAAUUAAUUAAUUACAUGUUUUAAUGAACUCACCCUCUGAGUUCCAGGCACUGGAACUGGACUGAGGGUGUAAAGAUGACUGAGAGUAGUUGCCUUGCUUCCAAGUAACUCACUGUGCAGGUGCUUUUUUGUUUGCUUUUUUGUUUGUUUGGGGGAAGGCAGCUAGAAGUGAGACCCUAGAAUUCCCCUAUGAUCAUCAUCAUCAUCUUCUUCUUCUUCUUUUCUUCUUCUUCUUCUUUCUCUCUCUAUCCAUCUCCCUUUCUCUCUCUCUCUCUCUCUCUCUCUCUCUCUAUCUAUCUCUCUCUUUUUCUCUCCUCAGCACAUGGGAAGUUUGCAGUUGCCAACACUUGCCUGAGUCCUUAACGUCGACAGUUUUCUGCCAUUCUCUAAAGUUGUCCCUGUUUUGUUUAUUAAAGCAUGUUGUAUGAUCACCUUUGAUUGUAUUCAUUGUGGACCACCACAGCAAUAAUAAGUACGUGCUAUAUAAUAAUAAGUGAACUAACACUGUGAGUCAGACAAUAACCACACUGAGCUUAAAGGUCUCACCUCUCAGCUUCCUGGCCUCACAGCACCACUGCAGGCUUGGGGCCUAGCCUGGGUUUCCCGCUGUCACUGUUACAACAACAACAACAGCCUCAGUGGCCUCUGUGUGCCCCUGCUCUGUGCUCUCCCACACCUCAGCCAGGCCGCAGCUUUUCACAGGUACACACCCUCAGGUAGCAAAGCC